GUGGUUUUUUCCCGAAAGGGUUUUUCCACGUUAAAUCCUUGUGUUCUCAUUUCUACUUUUCUCCUCAUAUUUCCUUUCUUUAUUGUCGAUAUAAUUGUAACAAGUGGUAUCAGAGCCAAGUUUAUUAGCUCAAAGUUAUAUCGACAUGUCUUUAUUGAAAUAUGAUUUACCACUCUUGGAUCGAGACACAAGAUUUACUUUAUGGCAAGUAAAGAU
Molecule: long non-coding RNA, 216 nt
Filed under: Nicotiana benthamiana
Lineage: Eukaryota; Viridiplantae; Streptophyta; Magnoliopsida; Solanales; Solanaceae
Description: long non-coding RNA (NBEN_LNC000507)
Source: RNAcentral